Molecule: long non-coding RNA, 410 nt
Organism: Brienomyrus brachyistius
Lineage: Eukaryota; Metazoa; Chordata; Actinopteri; Osteoglossiformes; Mormyridae
Exons: 2
Source: RefSeq, a predicted model, not a curated record
GGUGCUUCUUCUGCUGUCCCCUGCCCUUCAGAAGAAGUAGCAAGAGGCAGUAAUUAUAAGAAUACCCGUGUUAGAGCCCUGCAUUGGGACUGGGAUCCCGCGGGACCCAACGGAAAGUGAUACUGUUUAAGUGUUAAUGUAGCUAUAAGAUACGAUAGGAUAAGAUAUGCUGAGUUAAAAUAUAAGAUAGGCUAAGACAAAAUAUAUUAAUAUAAGCUAAGUUGAAAUAUAAUAAGAUAAGAUAGGUUAAGUUAUAUGAUAAGAUAGGCUAAGUUAAAAUAUAAUAAGAUAGGUUAAGUUAAGAUAUGACAAGAUAGGUUAAGAUAAAAUAUGAUAGGCUAAGUUAACAUAUGAUAAGGUAGGCUAUGUUAAGAUAAGAGAUUUGCAAUAAAACAUAUUUACUUUUCAAA